GAAGGAAGAGUGUCUAAAAGGGGCUUCGGACCUCACGAAUUUGAAAGAAUUCCGAUCUCCAUUCGCCUUCUCUAUUCAACGUGAUCUCUCGAUACUCUCUGUCGCUCUCGGCUAUCGAUCUCAAUGGAAUCCUUUGUUUCUGGGUAUUUCAUAUUUACCUGCAGCCAAGAAUUUAGCUUGAAGACGCAUCCAUCGAGCAAGAAAAAGUCACACUAACAUCUAUGGGAACUGCAAUGACAAGAGUAUGUAAUGCCAAGGUGUAUCUUGCGCAAGUAAAGAAGAGGAAGCAUGCAUGUAGAUCUCUAUCCAAAUUUUCCUGUAGAUAAACAACUUGGGGAAUGCUAGCAACAAUAAUUGGAGAACAAGUAGAAUGGCUAUGCUAUUUGACUGUCUACCCAAAGAAACUUGGGAAGAC
Molecule: long non-coding RNA, 415 nt
Organism: Musa acuminata AAA Group (dessert banana)
Lineage: Eukaryota; Viridiplantae; Streptophyta; Magnoliopsida; Zingiberales; Musaceae
Exons: 3
Source: RefSeq, a predicted model, not a curated record